This 1697-nucleotide long non-coding RNA is filed under the name Vigna radiata. Its description in RNAcentral is "long non-coding RNA (VRAD_LNC007716)". The record is from RNAcentral. Lineage: Eukaryota; Viridiplantae; Streptophyta; Magnoliopsida; Fabales; Fabaceae.
UGAAAUCAUAAAUUAAAAGGGUGUAUUUGAAGGUGAAAUCCCUAAAUUAAAAGGGAUUUCACCCUUUUAUAAUCCACCUAUGCACUUGAAACGGUGCCACCUGGAAGCGUCAGCGUGCCACAUGUUNAAAAACUUCACGUUAACUGCAUUUAACUUUUAUUGAUUCAAAUUGACAAAAUUAGGGACCUAAUUGAUCACUUUCAAAAUUAGAGGACCCAAUUGAAACAAACCCCCAAAUAUAGGGACCUCCGAACCUAUUAAACCUUCAUCUUUUUAAAAGUGCUCACAAUAUUUGUUUUCUAAUCUCUUCAUAUUUAAUCAUAAUACUUAAAUAAAGUUGAUGUUGAUAAAGAUUAAUUUAUUUCAUUAAAGGAAAAACUUAUAGACAUCUUUCAACAAUUUUUGUAAAAAAAAGUUUGGUUGUCGGAGGCAUUAUAGUAUGAGUUGUGAUGUUACUGUAAAAAAAGUGUGGUUGUUGGAGGCAUUAUAGUAUGAGUGGUGCUUAGCCAUAUGGUGUGGAUUACGGAAAGGUACCAAUAGGGAGUGUACUUGUUUGGAUUUUAGCAGUUAACAGGAAAAUGAUGAGAUUUUGAGAUUUUAACUUUUCACAUGUACUUCACUUUCUGCUGUAUUUGCCCUAGCUAAAAGGUCUUUCUGAUAAAUGCAGAUGCUUCUGCAUUAUUAUUUAUCAGAAAAAGGAAAUCUAUCUGUGAAGUAAAUCUGCAUCACACAACACACCAUCUAUAUUCUGUGGUUACUAUAGCUGCACGACACAGACCUAAACCAGAGGUAUAUAACAUUGUUCUUUCAAUUAAAUUAGUGAAAUUCAGAUAGUGUAUACUUUAUUCAUAAAAAAAUGUUAUACUUUUUGCAACAUGUUGCAUUUUGGUUAGGGAACUGUAUUUGUAUGGCUAGUUUAUGUGCUUUUGUUUAUUUCAUAAUAAAGAGUAUGAAGUUAGAUAGUUGGUGUAAUUAAAAGAAGAAUAAAAAUGAAAUAUUAAAAGUAGUAUACAUUUAACUUUAUGCAUACAUAUUCUUAAUUUUACAAAUGUGGAAAAUGAUUUGAAUGAGUGUAUGAAUUUCAUUUUCCAAAACUUUUCUACAAUAAUCAAAUUUUUUUUGUAAUUAUUUAUUUAUUUAUCCUUUGAAUAUAAAAUAUUAAAAGUGACAUCAUUUUCAACUACCUAAGAGUUCAGCAUCAUUGAAUGAUUGACUCCAGAAGGAUCAUACUAGACAACAAAAAAAUAAUUGAAUUCAUCUCAUUUGGUUUGUUUAUUAUAUAUUUUACAAAAAUAAGUACUAAAUUUAAAAAAAAAAUCCUAGAUUACCCUUUAUUAAAACAUGAAAUAUUAAAGAUUAUAUCAAUAAAUAAGAUAAAAUCAUGAGUCAGCAAAAACCAGGUGUUUUUGGCAUAUUAUUGUUCAAUUAUAACUUAAUACUAUCUGAUAAAACUUGUGUUAAAAGCUAUGAACUUGAAUCAUAGUUUUGAAAACAUUUAAGUAUGAAAAUGCAUGAUGGCAGUUAGCAUUAACAUGCGAUGAUCGAAACUUACGAAUAUCAUCGUCGCUGAAGGGUUUGGAGUCAGCGAUUUCUUCAGGAGGCAUGGUGAAGCCGGUGAAGGAGAAAGAGAGUCCCAAGCUAGCACUUGAGGCUCUGCUGAGCGCUGCGCCACUGCUCAAAUCAUCAAAAUCCAACUU